This 21-nucleotide microRNA is filed under the name Brassica oleracea var. botrytis. RNAcentral describes it as "mature miR159B". The record is from RNAcentral. Lineage: Eukaryota; Viridiplantae; Streptophyta; Magnoliopsida; Brassicales; Brassicaceae.
CUUUGGAUGAAGGAAGCUCUU